Molecule: ribosomal RNA, 253 nt
Filed under: uncultured prokaryote
Description: partial 16S ribosomal RNA
Rfam family: Bacterial small subunit ribosomal RNA
Source: RNAcentral
UACGGAGGGUGCAAGCGUUACUCGGAAUCACUGGGCGUAAAGAGCGUGUAGGCGGGUUAAUAAGUUUGAAGUGAAAUCCUAUGGCUCAACCAUAGAACUGCUUUGAAAACUGUUAACCUAGAAUAUGGGAGAGGUAGAUGGAAUUUCUGGUGUAGGGGUAAAAUCCGUAGAGAUCAGAAGGAAUACCGAUUGCGAAGGCGAUCUACUGGAACAUUAUUGACGCUGAGACGCGAAAGCGUGGGGAGCAAACAGG